GGGAAAUCUUAACACUACAGCAUACAAUGACAUUCACGAUGAUUCUGUGCUUCCAAUUUUGUGGCAACAGUUUGGGGAAGGCCCUUUCCUGUUUCAGCAUGACAAUGCCCCCCGUGCACAAAGCAAGGUCCAUACAGAAAUGGUUUGUCGAGAUCAAAGUGGAAGAACUUGACUGGCCGGCACAGAGCCCUGACCUCAACACCAUCGAAUACCUUUUGGAUGAAUCGGAACUCGAGCCAGGCCAACAUCAGUGCCUGACCUCACUUAUGCUCGUGGCUGAAUGUAAGACCUGAGCCCUAGGACCAUGCCUCAGGACUACCUGGUAUGAUGACUCCUUGCUGUCCCCAGUCCACCUGGCCGUGCUGCUGCUCCAGUUUCAACUGUUCUGCCUGCGGCUAUGGAACCCUGACCUGUUCACCGGACGUGCUUGUUGCACCCUCGAC
RNAcentral lists this long non-coding RNA (443 nucleotides) under Salmo salar (Atlantic salmon). Its description in RNAcentral is "lncRNA (ENSSSAG00000099029.1)". Lineage: Eukaryota; Metazoa; Chordata; Actinopteri; Salmoniformes; Salmonidae. The record is from RNAcentral.